UGCGUGGGCCCAAUGGUAAGGCAACGGGUUUUGGUCCCGUUACUCGGAGGUUCGAAUCCUUCCGUCCCAGA
This 71-nucleotide transfer RNA is filed under the name Sansonia bradei. RNAcentral's name for it is "partial tRNA-Gln". The stretch from base 7 to 62 matches the Rfam family "tRNA", at positions 9 to 63 of the family's 71-position model. From Rfam's summary of the family: Transfer RNA (tRNA) molecules are approximately 80 nucleotides in length. Their secondary structure includes four short double-helical elements and three loops (D, anti-codon, and T loops). Lineage: Eukaryota; Viridiplantae; Streptophyta; Magnoliopsida; Asparagales; Orchidaceae. The record is from RNAcentral.